UUUUCAUAACCCAAAAGUAACAUAAGAAUAAUUUAUAUACGUUGAUGAAGCGCAAACAUAGAAAUUGAUUAACUGUUUACACAACAAUAAAAUAAUAAAAACCGAGGAUCUAUCAACAAUCCGAAGCUAUGAAAUGGCAGGCCUUAAAUUGUACCACUGUUUUCUCUAGUAAUUCGAUAGGCAAGUGUCUUGUGUAUCCAUUGUACACAUGCAUUCAUCACUGGCGAAUUUGAAAAACUGGGUUUUGUAGUCAAAUUCUGUUGGAUCCUUGACUUUUUUCAACUCGUAAUACAGAAUAUGCUGUUAUAGAGUGAAUGGUUAUUUUCAACAUUAUAAACCACAAGAUUACCAUAAAAAUCCCGAAAUACCAGCUCUUCACCUGGAAGAUUUUCAAACUUAAAGUAUAAAAGAGAAAAAAAUAAAAUUUAAUUGAUGCAGCUCUUACCAGAAAUCCAUGUUCCAUUGAAGUAUCUUGGCUCUAAAUCUCCACUGAUGAUCUCUUCUAAGAUAUGAUGAGACAAAACAAGAAUAGAUAGACGUCAUUCGUCUCUAUAUCUUGUUGACAGAGUCAAUAAAAGGAGAAGAUAACACUCUUG
Long non-coding RNA from Centruroides sculpturatus (bark scorpion), 596 nucleotides. RefSeq lists it as uncharacterized. The transcript has 3 exons. NCBI's taxonomy places the organism in Eukaryota, Metazoa, Arthropoda, Arachnida, Scorpiones, Buthidae. The record is from RefSeq and is a predicted model, not a curated record.